GCAUUUCCUUUUUGACUUGCCUUAGGGAGAGGGAGACCAGCGGAGGCUGGGGGCUGUUGGACUCAUCAAUCUGGGCUAUUAUCAGUGGACAGCAAUGAGAUCCGCUCCACGCAACAAACCUACAACAUUGUCGAGACUUUUCUCAUACAACUGUUCUCUUUUCACGUAAGACAUAGUUUACAACAGACGGUAUCUGGGAAGCAGGGCUUUGAUUCAGAGAGAGCCUUGUGUAUAGGAAUUAAAGUCCAGCAUAUAGCAGGUGAAUACUGGAACCAAGAUGAUAUUGCUCUUAAGGGAUUUUGACACUUUAACACAGACUCUGAUUCCAAAAAAUCCAUGAAUAGACUCCCAUUAAUGACAAAACUCCCUUUGACGUCAACUAGUUUUGGACUUAAUGAGUGGAACUAUGCUAGCAUUUGUUCUAGCAUGUAAGUACAUUUAGAAGUAAACAACCGAG
This 457-nucleotide long non-coding RNA is filed under the name Gopherus agassizii (Agassiz's desert tortoise). RNAcentral's name for it is "lncRNA (ENSGAGG00000009310.1)". The record is from RNAcentral. Lineage: Eukaryota; Metazoa; Chordata; Testudines; Testudinidae.